Molecule: RNA transcript, 883 nt
Organism: Helicoverpa armigera (cotton bollworm)
Lineage: Eukaryota; Metazoa; Arthropoda; Insecta; Lepidoptera; Noctuidae
Exons: 3
Source: RefSeq, a predicted model, not a curated record
UGUUCUGCAUUCGAACCACUAUGACAUUCAUUAAUGUCAUAACAUCAUUUCUAUGAAAAUCAUCUAAAUUACUAAAAAUUAUAAAAAUAACGAAACCUUCAAAAAAUUGGAAAAUUUUAUAACAAUAAACCACAAAAAACUAUCAAUAAUCUAUCAAAGCAAAGUAGACAGGGUUACGGUUCACAAGUAUGUCAGUGUUGCCCCGCGGGUUCGAAUGCUGCCGUGCUCCUCCGAGGUACGGCUGUGUUCGCGGAGAGUACAGCAUCUACUACAAGAGGCCACGGUGCGGCCAGCCCAGACCACAGCCCUUCCAGCGAGAGUGCGCCUGCUACUACUGGGGAUGUCCUAGCAACGCACCAUGUGAGAGGCCUUGCUGUUACGACUACCCUUGCAAGGCUCACUGCUUCAACCACGGUGCGUGCACGAGGCCGAGCGGCCGGUACGCGCGCACUGUCUGGUACCCCGGCGAGUGCUGCCCCGUGGUGCCGCCCUGCCAGGCCUUCACCUGCCCCAACCCGCCCUACCAUCCCUGCUGCUACCACACUUGCAACAAACACGUCUAAUAUCUAAAUGAUAAAUCAACCUCGAAGGUUUUUAAAACAAGCAACUGUUGGAUUAGCAGUCAGAGGUUCUCCAAACAAAAUUCGGGAGCAAGGAGGCCUCGCAUUAUUGGAAGACCUUGUUUUAAUGCCUUAGAGUGUUACUUUUUUGCAACCUAGACCUUGCAAAAAUAAUCGUUUCCAAGUCCUUGAUUUAAAGCUCUCCCGAAAGCUUCAAAUUCAAGGAAUACUCAAUGUUUUUCGUAAGUUCGUGGAAGUGCAGUCCUGAUGUCGUACUUGUGAAUCGUAAACUGUGUUGUCCAAAAUAAAUGAGAUACAUAGCA